UACGGAGGGGGCUAGCGUUGUUCGGAAUUACUGGGCGUAAAGCGCACGUAGGCGGCUUUGUAAGUUAGAGGUGAAAGCCCGGGGCUCAACUCCGGAAUUGCCUUCAAGACUGCAUCGCUAGAAUUGUGGAGAGGUAAGUGGAAUUCCGAGUGUAGAGGUGAAAUUCGUAGAUAUUCGGAAGAACACCAGUGGCGAAGGCGACUUACUGGACACAUAUUGACGCUGAGGUGCGAAAGCGUGGGGAGCAAACAGG
Molecule: ribosomal RNA, 253 nt
Filed under: uncultured bacterium
Lineage: Bacteria
Description: partial 16S ribosomal RNA
Rfam family: Bacterial small subunit ribosomal RNA
Source: RNAcentral